This 424-nucleotide ribosomal RNA is filed under the name uncultured bacterium. RNAcentral's name for it is "partial 16S ribosomal RNA". It matches the Rfam family "Bacterial small subunit ribosomal RNA", at positions 360 to 776 of the family's 1533-position model. The record is from RNAcentral.
AAUUUUGGACAAUGGGGGAAACCCUGAUCCAGCCAUCCUGCGUGUAGGAUGAAGGCCUUAGGGUUGUAAAGUAGUUUUAGCAUAGAAGAAAAGGUAUCCCCUAUUAGGGGAUACGGGUGACGGUAUCUGCAGAUUAAGGAACGGUCAACCACGUGCCAGGAGCCGCCGUGAUUCGUAGGGUGCAAGCGUGAAUCGGAAUUACUGGGCCUAAAUGGUGUGUAGGCGGUUCGGAAAGAAAGAUGUGAAAACCCAGGGAUCAACCUUGGUACUGCAUUUUUAACUGCCGAGCUAGAGUAUGUCAGAGGGGGGUAGAAUUCCACGUGUAGCAGUGAAAUGCGUAGAUAUGUGGAGGGAUACCGAUGGCGAAGGCAGACCCCUGGAAUAAUACUGACGCUCAGAAACGAAAGCGUGGGGAGCAAACAGG